UACGAAGGGGGCUAGCGUUGUUCGGAUUUACUGGGCGUAAAGGGCGCGUAGGCGGUACUUCAAGUCAGGCGUGAAAGCCCCGGGCUCAACCUGGGAACCGCGCUUGAGACUGGAGAACUAGAGUUCGGGAGAGGAUGGUGGAAUUCCCAGUGUAGAGGUGAAAUUCGUAGAUAUUGGGAAGAACACCGAUGGCGAAGGCAGCCAUCUGGACCGACACUGACGCUGAGGCGCGAAAGCGUGGGGAGCAAACAGG
Molecule: ribosomal RNA, 253 nt
Filed under: uncultured bacterium
Lineage: Bacteria
Description: partial 16S ribosomal RNA
Rfam family: Bacterial small subunit ribosomal RNA
Source: RNAcentral